Molecule: long non-coding RNA, 321 nt
Organism: Suricata suricatta (meerkat)
Lineage: Eukaryota; Metazoa; Chordata; Mammalia; Carnivora; Herpestidae
Exons: 2
Source: RefSeq, a predicted model, not a curated record
UCUAGAAAUACCACUGGGUGCAAACCAAGAAAAGAGUGAAGUCGCAGCUGGGAAUUACAUGUCUGCCUUGAGAUAAAAAGCUUCCUCACUUUAUUGUGUCCAUGGGGACCACAUGGGAUCCAGGACUCCCUCCUCCAACAGGAGGUGAUAAGGCUGUAUCCGUACUUCAGCUUAUACGUUGAAUACUCCUACUACCAGGGGAGAGCUGCAAUGCAAUUAUUAAAAUAAUAAUGAUGAUGAUGAUGAUGAAAAAGAAGCUGGCAAGAAAUCUCCAAAUAGUAUCACAUGAUAACCAAUUUUAAAUAAAUUCUCCUAGAGUAA